GUGCUCACUUCAGCAGCACAGAGACUAAAAUUGGAAUAAUACAGUUAGCAUGGCCUCUGUUCAAGGAUGGUAUACAAAUUUGUGAAGUGUUCUAUAUUUUU
Small nuclear RNA from Cervus hanglu yarkandensis (Yarkand deer), 101 nucleotides. NCBI's taxonomy places the organism in Eukaryota, Metazoa, Chordata, Mammalia, Artiodactyla, Cervidae. The record is from Ensembl.